RNAcentral lists this ribosomal RNA (253 nucleotides) under uncultured bacterium. RNAcentral's name for it is "partial 16S ribosomal RNA". It matches the Rfam family "Bacterial small subunit ribosomal RNA", at positions 524 to 776 of the family's 1533-position model. The record is from RNAcentral.
UACGGGGGGGGCAAGCGUUGUUCGGAAUUACUGGGCGUAAAGCGUGCGUAGACGGUUAUUUAAGUCGGGUGUGAAAGCCCCGGGCUCAACCUGGGAAUUGCAUUCGAGACUGAAUAGCUAGGGUACGGUAGAGGGAAGCGGAAUUUCCGGUGUAGCGGUGAAAUGCGUAGAUAUCGGAAGGAACAUCAGUGGCGAAAGCGGCUUCCUGGACCAGUACCGACGUUCAGGCACGAAAGCGUGGGGAGCAAACAGG